GCUGAGCAUCAGGCUGGCAGCAGAGGCGCUGCAUUCGGAGCCGUCCCGGAGCCGGAGAUGUGGCCCUCAAGAAUCUUGAAGUCAAAGAAAAUGCCCUGAGUCAACUGGAUGUGCCCUUUAAAGUUAAAGUUGGUCAUAUUGGUAAUCUUAAACUUAGAAUUCCAUGGAAAAACCUUUAUACUCAACCAUUUGAAGCUGUAUCAGAAGAUAUUUAUUUACUCAUAGUGCCUUCUUCCAGAAUAAAAUAUGAUCCUUUAAAGGAAGAAAAAUGGGAUCCAACAUGGCGGCGAGAGGGGAGGCAGCGCUUUCAGU
RNAcentral lists this long non-coding RNA (312 nucleotides) under Marmota monax (woodchuck). Lineage: Eukaryota; Metazoa; Chordata; Mammalia; Rodentia; Sciuridae. The record is from RNAcentral.